GAUGAACGCUGGCGGCGUGCCUAACACAUGCAAGUCGAGCGAAGCGCUUAAAUUAGAUUUCUUCGGAAUGACGAUUUUUGUGACUGAGCGGCGGACGGGUGAGUAACGCGUGGGUAACCUGCCUCAUACAGGGGGAUAACAGUUAGAAAUGACUGCUAAUACCGCAUAAGACCCCAGCUUCGCAUGAAGCGGUGGUAAAAACUCCGGUGGUAUGAGAUGGACCCGCGUCUGAUUAGCUAGUUGGUAAGGUAACGGCUUACCAAGGCGACGAUCAGUAGCCGACCUGAGAGGGUGACCGGCCACAUUGGGACUGAGACACGGCCCAGACUCCUGCGGGAGGCAGCAGUGGGGAAUAUUGCACAAUGGGGGAAACCCUGAUGCAGCGACGCCGCGUGAAGGAUGAAGUAUUUCGGUAUGUAAACUUCUAUCAGCAGGGAAGAAAGUGACGGUACCUGACUAAGAAGCCCCGGCUAACUACGCG
This 481-nucleotide ribosomal RNA is filed under the name uncultured bacterium. RNAcentral's name for it is "partial 16S ribosomal RNA". It matches the Rfam family "Bacterial small subunit ribosomal RNA", at positions 28 to 507 of the family's 1533-position model. The record is from RNAcentral.